AACGAACGCUGGCGGCAGGCCUAAGGCAUGCAAGUCGAACGAUCCGUAUCUUCGGAUACAAUGGAUAGUGGCGCACGGGUGAGUAACGCGUGGGAAUAUACCCCUUGGUAAGGAACAACAGUUGGAAACGACUGCUAAUACCUUAUAAUGACUCCGGUCCAAAGAUUUAUCGCCAAGGGAUUAGCCCGCGUCUGAUUAGGUAGUUGGUGAGGUAAAAGCUCACCAAGCCGACGAUCAGUAGCUGGUCUGAGAGGAUGAUCAGCCACACUGGUACUGAGACACGGACCAGACUCCUACGGGAGGCAGCAGCUAGGAAUAUUGGACAAUGGAGGAAACUCUGAUCCAGCCAUGCCGCGUGAGUGAAGAAGGCCUUCGGGUUGUAAAACUCUUUCAGAUGUGAAGAUGAUGACGGUAACAUCAGAAGAAGCCCCGGCUAACUUCG
Molecule: ribosomal RNA, 442 nt
Filed under: uncultured Alphaproteobacteria bacterium
Lineage: Bacteria; Pseudomonadati; Pseudomonadota; Alphaproteobacteria
Description: bacterial SSU rRNA
Rfam family: Bacterial small subunit ribosomal RNA
Source: RNAcentral